AAUGAAGUUUGGCAGGGUAGAAAUGGUGCUCGACAAGAUGAAGCGACGUGUUGAGUAUGCAUGGAAGCAUAUUAGUUAGUAAACUGUUGCCUAUCUACAAUGCCGCCAAGGAAAAA
This is a long non-coding RNA of Papaver somniferum (opium poppy), 116 nucleotides long. RefSeq lists it as uncharacterized. The record is from RefSeq and is a predicted model, not a curated record. Lineage: Eukaryota; Viridiplantae; Streptophyta; Magnoliopsida; Ranunculales; Papaveraceae. The transcript has 3 exons.